This 1193-nucleotide long non-coding RNA is filed under the name Ricinus communis (castor bean). RNAcentral describes it as "long non-coding RNA (RCOM_LNC000434)". The record is from RNAcentral. Lineage: Eukaryota; Viridiplantae; Streptophyta; Magnoliopsida; Malpighiales; Euphorbiaceae.
UUUACUUUUUAUAUAAUUAAUAAAUACUUUAUUAUCAAAAUAAGUAAUAAGAUAUACUAAGACUUAUAAAAUAUAGGAAUACAAUUUUGUUUUCUAUGAAUCAAUACUUCAUUACUGCAAAUCAAGAGUUAAACAAUAAAAAAUUAAGGGAUAGACCCCCAAACCUACAAUCCAACAAGACAACAGACGCAUGAGCCAACAGGUAUGCUACCUAGUUCGCUGGACGACAAACAAAACAGAAGAAACUAUUAGCAAAUACCUUUAACAAACAAUGACAAUCAUCAACUAUUGAAUUAAAACUGAACCGGGCUUGAACAUUGAAGUGUAGAGAUUAACACUAAAGAAUCAGAUUCAAUAAUCACAUUUUGUUGAUCACGAGACUUUAACCAGUUAAAGGCCUCCCUGAAAGAAAGAGCUUCAGCCACACGAGCAUCUAAAGGGCCAGCUAGAAGACCAGAUUUCGCACACAAUAAAUGAAUCCGAGCGGUCUCGAACUAUGCAACCAUAGCUCACUGAUGAGAGAAUAAUGCUGCAUCAACAUUAAAUUUAAUCAUAUCAAGACGAGGUUUCUGCCAAAUACAGACAAAAUGCUCCCUUGAAACUGUCGGACCAGCAGGCACAUCAGGCAUAUGAGCAGCAAGAUUGAGUUAGAAAUGAGAGAGCAUCCUGAACUAGUUGGCCUGCAGGCUUAAAAUGUCCAUUCCACCCAAAAUCGUUUAUGUUGGACUAUAUACUCCAAGCUAAGACAGCUGCAAUCUGAAGUGAAUCCUUGGAAUGAUUGGCUGCCACUUUCCACCAUAGGAAUACAAUUAUUACAAAUUAGUUGUUCCAAAAUAAAAUAUAAUUGCAAGAUUGGGGAAAAAAGAGACAACAGUAGUCUCUUCGCAUUUGGACCUUCAAUACGAAAAUGGAAGGGCAACUAAAAAGGAGGCCUAAGACAAACAUAUUAGGCCAUCAAAAAGCUUCAUACAAAUCAAACUCAAAAGAACGGAAUGCAUAAAUAGGGCAGCAUUUAUAUGGAGAUAGAGAAACUACCGAAAUCCACAUCAUAAAGAUAGGUGGGAAGUUAUCAUCGAAAGAUCCAGUAAACGUCCUAAAUGCAUACUGUUAAGACAGGUAGCAAGUCAUCAUACUUCCUAAAUGUCUAUGGUCAAGACAGGUGGCAAGUCAUCAUGCAAAUAAACAAAAGAAAG